UUGGGACGUAAAAAUCCUUUAAUGCUUGAAUAAUGUUGCAUGGAAUAAUAGAAUACGGCCUCGGUUCUAUUCUGUUGGUCUUAUAGAACAACAAAAAAGUUGGUAAUUGCACCAAAGUUUCUUUGUGCGUUGGUUCUGCUUUGGCUAGCACGCUUGUGUUGCGUAAAUGUUAAAAAGUUUAGAGCCGCGGCGUUUGUUUAGUCGAGUGUUCCAUUUAAAGGCGCGCACUGAAUACGAGCAACCACCAACUGAGGCAAUGGUUAAAAGAAAUAGUCGCGGCGGCAUCAGUACUGCAUUGCUAGAGGUGAAAUUCUUAGACCGAUGCAAGACUAACUGAAGCGAAAGCGUUUGCCGAGGAUGUUUUCAUUAAUCAAGAACGAAAGUUAGAGGUUCGAAGGCGAUCAGAUACCGCCCUAGUUCUAACCAUAAACGUUGCCAACUAGCAAUUGGCCUGAAUUCUAUUUUAACAAAUUGAAUGAUUCGGCCAGCGGCUUUAGGGAAACCAAAGUCUUUGGGUUCCGGGGGAAGUAUGAUUGCAAAGUUGAAACUUAAAGGAAUUGACGGAAGGGCACCACCAGGAGUGGAGCCUGCGGCUUAAUUUGACUCAACACGGGGAAACUUACUAGAUUAGAACACAGGAAUGAUUGACAGAUUGAUAGCUCUUUCUUGAUUCUGUGAGUGGUGGUGCAUGGCCGUUCUUGAUUCGUAGAUUGAUUCGUCUGCUUAAUUGCGAUAACGAGUGAGACCUCACUUUACUAACUAGUCGCUUGGUGCAUCUUUGACGCAAAAGUCUUGCUAGCGGCGCGCGUUAAAGGCGG
Molecule: ribosomal RNA, 818 nt
Filed under: uncultured eukaryote
Lineage: Eukaryota
Description: partial 18S ribosomal RNA
Rfam family: Eukaryotic small subunit ribosomal RNA
Source: RNAcentral